GAUGCACUAAUUGUAGACAUCUUACAUUGCUCUCCAAAUUCUUUGACAUUUCUCCAAACACGCAUUUCUCCACACUCUCUCAUGAAAAACAUGAAAGAAAGACAAUCAUCCCGUGCCCUCUCUGGUUGCCAAGUCCUCUGAAUCCUGCUUUGCAGAGUUCAUCAUCCUGUCUUACUUAUGGUUUCUGCUGAAUUGGGUUCUGCGUUGAAUGAAAGGUUGCUUUCUAAGGGAGAGACCUCCUUUGGAAAUUAGAGGUGGCAGGGCUCUGCGUUCACAAGUGAGUAGUGGAUUCGCCACAGAUUCGGUGCUUGGGGUGGCGUUGCGGGGAGUUCAGUUGGGUUGAUGGAGCCAUCUGCGGGACGAAGACGAGAUUUUGAUGGAAAAAGAGAUGUCGGAGAACAGUGUAAUCGCUACAGACCUUUCUGCUGUUGUACUUGACUCAAUAUUGGCUACCUGAAAAUCCUGUUGAUGUUGUGUCCACGUUGUGCGCGUGUCGAAUUUUCUGAGGCCUUGUUCGCACUACACCACCUCGUCUCCGUUUGCAAACUCGACAAUUUGAUGAGAUACCCGCAGCAAAUUUGCGAAGUCGCAUCGUAGCACAGGGAGUCUCUUGGACUUGGGCUGCCUGGACCACCAUUCGAACCCAUAUGUGCACCACUAGGAAGCUGGAUCUGGCUGGAUCCUCAUUAUUUAAGGGGAUGGCCUGUCAGCGAUUUUGGCAAACUUACGAUGUUAGGAGCGACUCCUUUUAGACAACUGCCAGAUACUAUACCUCUCUCGUUUUGCUUGUGUACCGAAUUUGCUUUACAUUGAGAAGGUUCAAAUGAACGUGUUCAGUGAUGCAUGGAAACUUUAGUCUUUAUUGCACAGAAAUAAAUGGCCAUCAUUCAAUUUGCUUUUGCAGGCUAUGGUUUGCCCCCACCUUGAGAUCCUAUUUUUGGGUGGAUCAAGGCAGGGUUGUCGAGGCUGCAUCACUGGACACUAUUCCCUGAACAAUAUCGGCACCAAUCAGUUAAAUUGAGGAGGUUUAUUCUCAGGCUGAGAUUCUUUGAAUUGACAUUCAUUGCUGUUGCGGUUGUUCAGGCUGUGAGGUAAGUGAUCUACAUUGUUACAUCCAAUGGUGGCGUCUCAGCUUAUGAUUGAAUUGUGUUGUGUACAUGUGAAACUCGGAUUCUUGGAUGGUCUUAGUGAUGAUGGAGGAGUGCACACAUGGGCUCUUCAAGAACAUGAAAAUCGUUUCCAAGUAAUGAUUUAUCAUUUUUUUACAGAAUAAAAAUAGGGAGAAAUUUCUUGAACUUCUUGCUUUGAAUGAUGUUCGUUUCCGUCUCUUUGUUGAGGUUUCAUCGGUUGCGUAGCAGGGAGCAGGAUGACAUCAGUGUUUUCAAAAGAAAUCUCGAAUCUGGGGUUUUUAUGAGGAAAGUUCCGUAGCAGAAGUUGCGCGGGUCCCCGAUGAACUGAUAAACGUCAAGCCUGGAAAUGCUGUGAAUGACCUUCGACGACACAUUCCCAGUCCUAAGGUUAGGGCUAACAGCCUCUCACGACAAUACACUACUCCCGUUUAGUUUUGCAAAAUCAUCAGGGCUCAAUUUUGAGAAGAUAGGUUAAAUUUUAUUCGAUGUCUAAGUUUUGGAUCCUGCUCAUACACUAACUUCAAUGCUAGUGUGAGAAGUUCUAACCCCCCCAAAUUGAGGUCAGAUCGGAUUCAUUAAUUAAGGAUGUUACCAUCGGCUUGUGUGGAGCAACUAACUCUUUUGAUGCCAGAAACUGAUCACCGUUGCUUAGAGCAGCCCAGGCGUGGCGAUGUGCGCAUGAAUGCUGGCCCGAUUGCAAUCGGUUCAGCGGCAGUGGGGAUGAACGAUUCAUCAGGAAAUGAUUUUUAUUUUAUUUUUUAUUUUUUUUGGUAUCAGCAUCUUGAUGUACAUCAGCUUGCAUAGGUCGAGAGUUGAGGCUUGGAAAAAGAAGAAAAAUAACAUAUACCCCAAGAAAUCCAUGAGAUGAUACACUUUCUUAGCCACAACAACCUUUGGUUUUGGUGCAUAACAACUCCUACUUAAUUUAGUGAAAUACAAUUUUUGAAAGUUUGAUUCCAACUGUUUAGGUCCCAAGGCAUUGAGGUUUUAGUUCCAGCUUCUCUUUCAAUGAGAAAAUGAAUUUUUCACCUUAGAUUGCAUUUGUUUGGUCUGUAAUGUGACCUAGAGUUUUAUGCAAAAUAAAAGUUGAUACUUUA
Non-coding RNA from Physcomitrium patens, 2227 nucleotides. The record is from RefSeq and is a predicted model, not a curated record. Lineage: Eukaryota; Viridiplantae; Streptophyta; Bryopsida; Funariales; Funariaceae.